This 64-nucleotide transfer RNA is filed under the name Cryptocercus kyebangensis. RNAcentral describes it as "tRNA-Glu". It matches the Rfam family "tRNA". From Rfam's summary of the family: Transfer RNA (tRNA) molecules are approximately 80 nucleotides in length. Their secondary structure includes four short double-helical elements and three loops (D, anti-codon, and T loops). The record is from RNAcentral. RNAcentral also lists the same sequence under 1 other name. Lineage: Eukaryota; Metazoa; Arthropoda; Insecta; Blattodea; Cryptocercidae.
AUUUAUAUAGUUUAAUAAAACAUUACACUUUCAUUGUAAAAAUAAAGGGAAACUUUUAUAAAUA